Long non-coding RNA from Mobula hypostoma (lesser devil ray), 995 nucleotides. RefSeq lists it as uncharacterized. The record is from RefSeq and is a predicted model, not a curated record. The transcript has 3 exons. Lineage: Eukaryota; Metazoa; Chordata; Chondrichthyes; Myliobatiformes; Myliobatidae.
GCUGCGCGCAGCUUGACGGUGAUAGCGAGCGGUGGGAGCUGCGGUUCAUUGCUCGGUGACCCGCAAGCUGUUCCGCAGACAGAGAGGUUCCCCAGAGUGUCGGCGGAGAUUGAAUAUUCACGCGUCAGGCCCGCUCCCUCGGCAGCAGUGAUUGAUAUGUUUUAUAUUAAUCAGAGGGAUGCAGUUCUAUUAAUGUGCAAAUUAUAUGCGACUACUCCACGAGGAUCAGAAAGAUGAUUGCUCUGUGGGUUCACUGACGAUGUUAAAGAGAGAAUAUUGCUGACAACUAACGAUUGCCUGCAGCACAAGGGUGGCUGGGGUCCUGUUGGGUCUUUGUACAGUGAUUCUGCAUGGCGGCAUGUUCCCAUUGCUGGAGUUCACCGGUUGGCGGCAUUUUCCAUACAUUCAGGUUCAGCCUGAAGUCAAGUGCCUUUGGGGUGCAGCUUUCUGUGGCCCUGUAGGCACGAAUUCUCGCCGGUGUCACGAACCGAAGCAUAGUGGGAGCUGGAACAUCAAAGACCACAAGAGUGGCUGUCGGAGGCCUCUGUACUUGGUGAUCAAUCGUUCUUCUCUCUCGAUGGUCCAUGAUCAAUUAAUCUGCUGAGCCUUACAUCUUUGGGAUGCGAGAGGAAACAAGAGCACACAAGAGCACCUGGAGAACAACCAAGUGGCGCCGGGUGGAACAUACAAACUACUUACAGACCGCGGUUAGAAUUGAACCCAGGGCGCUGUAAUAGCAUGACACUCACUGCUACGCUACUACGUAGAGAGAGCAUUCACAGGAGGGAGAGACGGAGAGCAAACACAUCAGGUCGGAGAGCAACGGAACGAAGUGAGAGUGAUAGGGAGAGUGUUGAUCGAGAGCUGCCAACCACAGUGAAGGGGAAAUAACCAGGGGAAAGAACUGUGAUUCUUUUUAAAAUUUAAAAUUAUUUAUUAAAAGCUGUAAUGUAAUUUUGACCUUGUAAUUGCAGAAUGAUUUAAAAUCUGGUUAA